Molecule: ribosomal RNA, 468 nt
Filed under: uncultured bacterium
Lineage: Bacteria
Description: partial 16S ribosomal RNA
Rfam family: Bacterial small subunit ribosomal RNA
Source: RNAcentral
GACGAACGCUGGCGGCGUGCUUAACACAUGCAAGUCGAACGGAAAGGCCCUGCUUUUGUGGGGGGCUCGAGGGGCGAACGGGUGAGUAACACGUGAGUAACCUGCCCUUGACUUUGGGAUAACUUCAGGAAACUGGGGCUAAUACCGGAUAUUAGCGCCUGCUGCAUGGGGGGGGUUGGAAAGUUUCGGCGGUUGGGGUUGGACUCGCGGCUGAUCAGCUUGUUGGUGGGGUAGUGGCUUACCAAGGCGUUGACGGGUAGCCGGCCUGAGAGGGUGACCGGCCACAUUGGGACUGAGAUACGGCGCAGACUCCUACGGGAGGCAUCCGUGGGGAAUAUUGCCCAAUGGGCGGAAGCCUGAGGCAGCGACGCCGCGUGCGGGAUGACGGCCUUCGGGUUGUAAACAGCUUUCGCCUGUGACGAAGCGUGGGUGACGGUAAUGGGUGAAGAAGCACCGGCUAACUACGUG